GACGAACGCUGGCGGCGUGCUUAACACAUGCAAGUCGAACGGAAAGGCCCUGCUUUUGUGGGGUGCUCGAGUGGCGCACGGGUGAGUAACACGUGAGUAACCUGCCCUUGACUUUGGGAUAACUUCAGGAAACUGGGGCUAAUACCGGAUAGGAGCUCCUGCAGCAUGGUGGGGGUUGGAAAGUUUCGGCGGUUGGGGAUGGACUCGCGGCUUAUCAGCUUGUUGGUGGGGUAGUGGCUUACCAAGGCUUUGAAGGGUAGCCGGCCUGAGAGCGUGACCGGGCACAUGGGGACUAAGGUAGGGACCAGUCGCGUACGGGACGCAACAGGCGGGAAUAUUGCACAGUGGGCGGGAGCCUGAUGUAGCAACGCCGCGUGCGUGAUGACCGCCUUCUGGGUGUAAACCGCUUUCGCAUGUGACGAAGCGUUAGUGACGGUAAUGGGUAAAGAAGCACCGGCUAACUACGUG
This 468-nucleotide ribosomal RNA is filed under the name uncultured bacterium. Its description in RNAcentral is "partial 16S ribosomal RNA". It matches the Rfam family "Bacterial small subunit ribosomal RNA", at positions 28 to 507 of the family's 1533-position model. The record is from RNAcentral.